CUACGGGUCGCAGCAGUGGGGAAUAUUGCACAAUGGGCGCAAGCCUGAUGCAGCCAUGCCGCGUGUAUGAAGAAGGCCUUCGGGUUGUAAAGUACUUUCAGCGGGGAGGAAGGGAGUAAAGUUAAUACCUUUGCUCAUUGACGUUACCCGCAGAAGAAGCACCGGCUAGCUCCGUGCCAGGCAGCCGCGGUAGUACGGAGGGUGCAAGCGUUAAUCGGAAUUACUGGGCGUAAAGCGCACGCAGGCGGUUUGUUAAGUCAGAUGUGAAAUCCCCGGGCUCAACCUGGGAACUGCAUCUGAUACUGGCAAGCUUGAGUCUCGUAGAGGGGGGUAGAAUUCCAGGUGUAGCGGUGAAAUGCGUAGAGAUCUGGAGGAAUACCGGUGGUGAAGGCGGCCCCCUGGACGAAGACUGACGCUCAGGUGCGAAAGCGUGGGGAGCAAACAGGAUUAGAUACCCUGGUAGUC
RNAcentral lists this ribosomal RNA (465 nucleotides) under uncultured bacterium. RNAcentral describes it as "partial 16S ribosomal RNA". It matches the Rfam family "Bacterial small subunit ribosomal RNA", at positions 339 to 795 of the family's 1533-position model. The record is from RNAcentral.